UACGGGGGGAGCAAGCGUUGUUCGGAUUUACUGGGCGUAAAGGGCGCGUAGGCGGCCAGCACAAGUCAGUUGUGAAAUCUCCGAGCUUAACUCGGAAAGGUCAACUGAUACUGUGCGGCUAGAGUGCGGAAGGGGCAACUGGAAUUCUUGGUGUAGCGGUGAAAUGCUUAGAGAUUACAUGGAAUACCAAUUGCGAAGGCAGGUUACUACUAAUGGAUUGACGCUGAUGGACGAAAGCGUGGGUAGCGAACAGG
This 254-nucleotide ribosomal RNA is filed under the name uncultured bacterium. RNAcentral's name for it is "partial 16S ribosomal RNA". It matches the Rfam family "Bacterial small subunit ribosomal RNA", at positions 524 to 776 of the family's 1533-position model. The record is from RNAcentral.